AGUGAACGCUGGCGGUAGGCCUAACACAUGCAAGUCGAACGGCAGCACAGUAAGAGCUUGCUCUUACGGGUGGCGAGUGGCGGACGGGUGAGGAAUACAUCGGAAUCUACUUUUUCGUGGGGGAUAACGUAGGGAAACUUACGCUAAUACCGCAUACGACCUACGGGUGAAAGCAGGGGAUCUUCGGACCUUGCGCGAUUGAAUGAGCCGAUGUCGGAUUAGCUAGUGUGCGGGGUAAAGGCCCACCAAGGCGACGAUCCGUAGCUGGUCUGAGAGGAUGAUCAGCCACACUGGAACUGAGACACGGUCCAGACUCCUACGGGAGGCAGCAGUGGGGAAUAUUGGACAAUGGGCGCAAGCCUGAUCCAGCCAUACCGCGUGGGUGAAGAAGGCCUUCGGGUUGUAAAGCCCUUUUGUUGGGAAAGAAAAGCAGCAGGUUAAUACCCCGCUGUUCUGACGGUACCCAAAGAAUAAGCACCGGCUAACUUCGUG
Molecule: ribosomal RNA, 492 nt
Filed under: uncultured bacterium
Lineage: Bacteria
Description: partial 16S ribosomal RNA
Rfam family: Bacterial small subunit ribosomal RNA
Source: RNAcentral